GAGCGUAUGACUCAGUGGUAGAAUGUGUACCUAGCAUGCACUAGGUCCUGGGUUCAAUUCCCAGUACUUCCA
RNAcentral lists this transfer RNA (72 nucleotides) under Camelus ferus (Wild Bactrian camel). It matches the Rfam family "tRNA". From Rfam's summary of the family: Transfer RNA (tRNA) molecules are approximately 80 nucleotides in length. Their secondary structure includes four short double-helical elements and three loops (D, anti-codon, and T loops). The record is from Rfam by way of RNAcentral. Lineage: Eukaryota; Metazoa; Chordata; Mammalia; Artiodactyla; Camelidae.